UUUUUUUUUUUUUUUGCUUUGCACAGAAUCUCAGGAGGUGAUAACAGGAGGGGUGGUGAGGCCGACUGGUCGCCCUGAUUCCCUGAUUUAGUAAUACUUGGUCUAAACACAAGUACAUGGUCCCUUCACCACCACCCCACACCCAGGCUUUCUUUUCCUUUUCUUUCUUUCCACUUAGGCAAUUCCUAUAGUCACAGAUGAAAGGGCUAGAUGGAGCAGAGCCACACUCCCAUAUGUGAUAGGCCUCUGGACCAUCUGAGUGUCUCAGCUGUGGGCAUCCCCAGAGCUGUCUUAGGCCAAUGACAGAGGAGGUGCUCGGGACAUGUUUGUUCAGUGAAGGGCCAGAGGAAGUUCCUCAAAGAGUUAAAAAUAGACCUGCCCUAGGACCAAGCAAUUGCACUGCUGGGGAUUUACCCCAAAGAUACAGAUGUAGUGAAACGGCAGGACACUUGCACCCCGAUGUUUCUAGCAGCAAUGUCCACAAUAGCCAAACUGUGGAAGGAGCCUCAGUGUUCAUCGAAAGAUGAAUGGAUAAAGAAGAUGUGGUUUAUGUAUACAAUGGAAUAUUCCUCAGCCAUUAGAAAUGACAAAUACCCACCAUUUGCUUCAAUGUGGAUGGAACUGGAGGGUAUUAUGCUGAGUGAAAUAAGUCAAUUGGAGAAGCACAAACAUUAUAUGGUCUCAUUCAUUUGGAGAAUAUAAAAAAUAGUGAAAGGGAAUAAAGGGGAAAGGAGAGAAAAUGAGUGGGAAAUAUCAGAGAGGGAGACAGAACAUGAGAGACUCCUAACUCUGGGAAACGAACAAGGGGCGGUAGAAAGGGAGGUUGGUGGGGGGUGGGGGUGACUGGGUGACAGGCACUGAGGGGGGCACUUGAUGGGAUGAGCACUGGGUGUUAUUCUAUAUGUUGGCAAAUUGAACACCAAUAAAAAAUAAAUUAAAAAAAAGGGGGGGGGCCAGAGGGCUGAAAACACAUAGAAGCUUCUCAAGAACCUAAGCCCUGGGCACCAGGGGGCGUGGGGAGGGGACUACAGGAUGGCAGGUGAAGGGUGUGCUGGAGUCCUGAGGAUGAGCCACCUUCCCCUUAGCAGGGCAGACUUUUUCACCUCUCAUCUGUGUGGCAGUCCAUGUGGAAAUGUUAGAGGAGAGAAAGAGCCACUUAAUUAUGAGCUGCUUCCUACGCAAUCAGGUUCAGAAUAAAAACAGAGCUUCUCACGCUGGGGACCUGGAGAAGGCAGCAUCCAAUUCAUGAAAUCUGACAUCUAGCAAGAUAAGGGAGGGUGGCACCUCUGUGCGCCCCCCCCACAAGGUACCCAGAGAUAACUAUGGUCACAGGAAGUGUCAGGCUCUGGGAGGGCUCGCCACUGUUUACCAUAUGGGGAUGGAUCCUGGUGUCCCAGGCAUGCUUCGGGUCUGUGACACUGGCCUGGCCCACGAUUUUGAGAAACACAUAGUCAAAACAUGAGGGUAAAAUAUCUCUGGGGUGUGAGUGGCAGAAAGAGACUAACGAAUCUGUACUAACUGCAUUUCUCACUUUAACGUGUAGCAUUUCCCUCUUUGCCUCUACUUUGUCUCAGCUCUGGAAGAUAAGCCAUCAUCAUCACCCCUAAGGGAGAUGGAGAAUUCGAGCAUCUAUAAGACCUGCUUGUGUGCAGCUGCUGAGAGCUCUCUGGAGUCCAGGAAAACAUGGUAGAGCUACAGACACUGAGCUCUGUGCAGCUGCAGAAACAGCUGACCCUCCUCUGAUGAUGGAGAAACUGAGGCCCUGGUCACAUGACAGGCUGAUUCUUGUACUAGCCACACUCUAGAUUCUUGUCAUUUUGGAGAUCCAGCCAACCAACAAUGAUACAGGCAUACCUUGCUUAAUUGCACUUCACUUUGUUAUACUUUCCUGAUAUUGCAUUUUGUUUUUUAACAGAUUGAUGGUUUGUGGCCACCCUGAAUCAAGAAAAUCUACUGGUGCCAUUUUUGCAACAGCAUUUACUCAUCUCGUGCCUCUGUGUCGCAUUUUGGUAAUUCUCAAUAUUUCAAACCUUUUCUUUAUUAUUAUAUUAUUAUAUAAUAUGUUAUAUUACAUAUAAUUACAUUAUCAUAUCUGUUACGGUGAACUGUGAUCAGUGAUAACAACCCGCUGAAAGCUCAGAUGAUGGUUAGCAUUUUUUAGCAAUAAAAUAUUUUUAAAUUAAGGCAUGUACAUUGUUUCUUAGACAAAAUGCUACUGCACAGUUAAUAGACUACAGUACAGUGCGAACAUAACUUUUAUAUGCGCUGGGACCCCAAAAGAUUUAUUGGGACUCACUUUAUUGCAGUGGUCUGGAUUUGAACCUGCGUAUUGCCAAAGGUAUGCCUGUGUAUGGCAGAGGCCAUUCUUGCCCUGCUAUAGCCAGAACUAAGAGGGAGUGGUUGAAAAGUUUACUCCAGGUAGGAAUUGUGCGGGAGGGAUGGGGCCUGGCAUUAUCCAAGGCUGGUGCCCACAUAUACACCCCUACUAGGCUGAGCUUCCCCGUCACCCGCCCCUGCCCGCCCCGGUACAGAGCAGCAGCAAGUCCUCUUUUUUCUCCCUGUAUUCCCCUAAAGGACAGCGCACUACUCUUAUGUGCUGACCAGAGGAGGGCAGAUGGUCAGGUAUCUGCAAAGGGCUGUGGACUGAUUUUUGAAGGGUCAUCCCUUUUUUAUUAACCUGUGAUCGCAAAACUUCUGUGUUAUGUCUUCCCAAGUGUACUUGGGGGGUACCUGAGCCUCUUUCUGAGAUGACCGAGAUGACAGCUCCGACGAGGUGUCUUUGUAGUGUCAACAAAAAGAAGACUCAGACAGAAAUCUUUCCAGAGACCACUUGCGGGAGCGGCUCCUUGUUCAGUGGCCACCUGAGAUAAAGCUGUGGGAGGAGAAGGAACCAAAGCUAAUUCUUGAGUCUUCAAGCUAUGGAUUAUCUCAACCCCUGGAUUCCACCCCCCCACUUGCAUCUGCCUCCUGGGUCCUGGGUCAUUUUCACCGCUCAUUAUCACCAGCACCAGAGGGAAGGCAGAGGAAAUGAAGGGAGAUGAAAUUCAAAUGAAUCGAUCCUGCCACUUGUUAGCAGCUUAGCUUGCCAGUGUCCAAGGGGGAGGAGGCUGUAGCUCUUCUGUGGGUUUCAAUUCUCCAUGCUAUUCUGGUCCCUCGUGCUGCCAGGCAAUAUCGAGUGGGCUGUAUGGAAAUGAUCUGUGGGAUGAAAGAAGAGAAGGGAGGGGGAAGCUGCCUCCAACAGGAGCUUCUUCGAAUAAAAGGGAAAGGAAUUAUAUGUUCAGUGGCAGCAUGCCACACAGAGUAGCCCAAAUUUUAUUAAACAAACUCAUGUUUGGAAGCAUCUUAUCCCCUCAGAACUGGAAGGAAAGGGAUGCUGAGACC
Molecule: long non-coding RNA, 3381 nt
Filed under: Canis lupus familiaris (dog)
Lineage: Eukaryota; Metazoa; Chordata; Mammalia; Carnivora; Canidae
Description: lncRNA (ENSCAFG00805025867.1, ENSCAFG00845026418.1)
Source: RNAcentral